This 446-nucleotide ribosomal RNA is filed under the name uncultured Corynebacterium sp. RNAcentral's name for it is "bacterial SSU rRNA". It matches the Rfam family "Bacterial small subunit ribosomal RNA", at positions 338 to 795 of the family's 1533-position model. The record is from RNAcentral. Lineage: Bacteria; Bacillati; Actinomycetota; Actinomycetes; Mycobacteriales; Corynebacteriaceae.
CCUACGGGGGGCAGCAGUGGGGAAUAUUGCACAAUGGGCGCAAGCCUGAUGCAGCGACGCCGCGUGGGGGAUGACGGCCUUCGGGUUGUAAACUCCUUUCGCCAGGGACGAAGCGUUUUGUGACGGUACCUGGAGAAGAAGCACCGGCUAACUACGUGCCAGCAGCCGCGGUAAUACGUAGGGUGCAAGCGUUGUCCGGAAUUACUGGGCGUAAAGAGCUCGUAGGUGGUUUGUCACGUCGUCUGUGAAAUUCCACAGCUUAACUGUGGGCGUGCAGGCGAUACGGGCUGACUUGAGUACUGUAGGGGUAACUGGAAUUCCUGGUGUAGCGGUGAAAUGCGCAGAUAUCAGGAGGAACACCGAUGGCGAAGGCAGGUUACUGGGCAGUUACUGACGCUGAGGAGCGAAAGCAUGGGUAGCAAACAGGAUUAGAUACCCUUGUAGUC